Molecule: ribosomal RNA, 253 nt
Filed under: uncultured bacterium
Lineage: Bacteria
Description: partial 16S ribosomal RNA
Rfam family: Bacterial small subunit ribosomal RNA
Source: RNAcentral
UACAGAGGGGGCAAGCGUUGUUCGGAAUUACUGGGCGUAAAGGGCGCGUAGGCGGCCCGCUAAGUCGAACGUGAAAUCCCUGGGCUCAACCCAGGAACUGCGUCCGAUACUGGCAGGCUUGAAUCCGGGAGAGGGAUGCGGAAUUCCAGGUGUAGCGGUGAAAUGCGUAGAUAUCUGGAGGAAUACCGGUGGCGAAGGCGGCAUCCUGGACCAUUACUGACGCUGAGGCGCGAAAGCUAGGGGAGCAAACGGG